Molecule: ribosomal RNA, 489 nt
Filed under: uncultured bacterium
Lineage: Bacteria
Description: bacterial SSU rRNA
Rfam family: Bacterial small subunit ribosomal RNA
Source: RNAcentral
CUACGUGCCAGCAGCCGCGGUAAUACGUAGGUGGCAAGCGUUGUCCGGAAUUAUUGGGCGUAAAGCGCGCGCAGGCGGAUUGGUCAGUCUGUCUUAAAAGUUCGGGGCUUAACCCCGUGAUGGGAUGGAAACUGCCAAUCUAGAGUAUCGGAGAGGAAAGUGGAAUUCCUAGUGUAGCGGUGGAAUGCGCAGAUAUCAGGAAGAACACCGGUGGCGAAGGCGGGUCUCUGGGCCGUUACUGACGCUGAGGAGCGAAAGCGUGGGGAGCGAACAGGAUUAGAUACCCUGGUAGUCCACGCUGUAAACGUUGGGCACUAGGUGUGGGGGCCACCCGUGGUUUCUGCGCCGUAGCUAACGCUUUAAGUGCCCCGCCUGGGGAGUACGGCCGCAAGGCUAAAACUCAAAGGAAUUGACGGGGGCCCGCACAAGCGGCGGAGCAUGCGGAUUAAUUCGAUGCAACGCGAAGAACCUUACCAAGGCUCGACAUGC